Lepus europaeus (European hare) is the source of this 106-nucleotide small nuclear RNA. Lineage: Eukaryota; Metazoa; Chordata; Mammalia; Lagomorpha; Leporidae. The record is from RefSeq and is a predicted model, not a curated record.
GUGCUUGCUUUGGCAGCACAUACACAAAAUUAGAAUGAUACAGAGAAGAUAAGCAUGGCCCCUGUGCAAGGAUGACAUGCAAAUUUGUGAAGUGUUCCAUAUUUUU